AGUGAACGCUGGCGGUAGGCCUAACACAUGCAAGUCGAGCGGCAGCACAGUAAGAGCUUGCUCUUACGGGUGGCGAGUGGCGGACGGGUGAGGAAUACAUCGGAAUCUACUUUUUCGUGGGGGAUAACGUAGGGAAACUUACGCUAAUACCGCAUACGACCUACGGGUGAAAGCAGGGGAUCUUCGGACCUUGCGCGAUUGAAUGAGCCGAUGUCGGAUUAGCUAGUUGGCGGGGUAAAGGCCCACCAAGGCGACGAUCCGUAGCUGGCCUGAGAGGAUGAUCAGCCACACUGGAACUGAGACACGGUCCAGACUCCUACGGGAGGCAGCAGUGGGGAAUAUUGGACAAUGGGCGCAAGCCUGAUCCAGCCAUACCGCGUGGGUGAAGAAGGCCUUCGGGUUGUAAAGCCCUUUUGUUGGGAAAGAAAAGCAGCAGGUUAAUACCCCGCUGUUCUGACGGUACCCAAAGAAUAAGCACCGGCUAACUUCGUG
This 492-nucleotide ribosomal RNA is filed under the name uncultured bacterium. RNAcentral's name for it is "partial 16S ribosomal RNA". It matches the Rfam family "Bacterial small subunit ribosomal RNA", at positions 29 to 507 of the family's 1533-position model. The record is from RNAcentral.